CGUCGUCUCCCGCCGCCUCUUCUAUUUCGGGCUUAACGGAGAAGGUGCUUCCUGGGCAUCAAUCCCGAAAGAGGAUCGAAGACCAAGAAGAGGACCACAAUGAACCCUCAUAUUAGCACCCUAUUGAGGAAACUAAUUGACUUUGAGUGGGCGUCAUAGUGUUUUUUAGCAGUGGUACUUGUCAGGCUCCACAGUUAAAAGUUUGCACAAUGUCUCUGCAUUUUCUGCAUUUUAAAAUGGCUUUUAUGAAAACAAUCUUAAAGUUGAAAUUCUAAAAUAAUUAAUUUCUUAAAUUCUUGCUGUACAUUGAAACAUAUGUGUUAAUAAAUAUGCCAUUGGGCUAACAUUGA
This is a non-coding RNA of Pimephales promelas (fathead minnow), 350 nucleotides long. The record is from RefSeq and is a predicted model, not a curated record. Lineage: Eukaryota; Metazoa; Chordata; Actinopteri; Cypriniformes; Leuciscidae.